This is a non-coding RNA of Petromyzon marinus (sea lamprey), 5908 nucleotides long. The record is from RefSeq and is a predicted model, not a curated record. Lineage: Eukaryota; Metazoa; Chordata; Hyperoartia; Petromyzontiformes; Petromyzontidae.
UUUCUUUCUCCACGUGGUCGCGUGGAUUUUUACUCCCGAGUCCUCCGGUUCUUCCCCUCCACGUUUAGAGUCAACAUCACACGUUUUAGAGUGUGUGGCCACUGCUAUACAUUUCCACACGAUGAUGGUAAGUUGCUUGAUUUGAGCGGCUUAUCACACGAUGAUUUAUGAUAGCCAGGUCGCUUAUAAAGAAGAGCUACAUAGCUCAGCGCGGCCCUACCUGGUUAAACUAAAAACAUUUUGUUAUAAUUUUUAUUUACCAAGUGAGAGCAUCGCAGUGGGGGGGGGGGGGGGUUGGGAGGGCGAUGGAGGCUCCGUGGCAUCAACCCCCGAUUUAAGUAAAACUUCCGCAGGAUUUCGGCUAAUUUUGGAACCCUUGGCGCUACUGCGAAUGACGGGAUCUGGAUGGUCAAUACUCUGGCGGCGGCGAGUCGAUUGAUCGGAAUCAAAAUCAGAAUGUUUAUUUACACUGCAGGAGGUGGAAAUCCGAUGAGCUAUGAAGCUCUUUUUCGCAUUAUGUCAAGUGUGGGGCCACGGGAUGAGAACGUUACAACAACGAAUAAUUCAACAGCACGAUAGAAGUGCAAGUUGAUGGCAAGGUAAACAAAUCGCUUAAGACAACAAACGAUAGCAAAGACUUGACAGGGGAGCGCUAAAUCGAGGAAUGGGUAAUGACGUCACAAUAUAUAAAGCAUUGAUUAUUACAUCCAUCCAAUAAGUUCGAUUUAUCGAGCCUGGGCAACAACAACAAGACUGCGUGUUAAAUUAACAACAAAUGGCCCCACACCACACCAACAUAACACACAGCAGUAGUCCCUCAAUCAAAUUGCACAUUCACGUCUAACGCUUGGUCGAGCUGGUCUCUCUCUCGAGAUAGAGAGAUACAUACAAUAACGAAUCGUCGGGGACGGUAAAUUUGUCUCGCAUAAAAACCAGCGUCACGUGACCACAUAAAUAGUCGGAGCAACGUUACGCGAACAGAAAUUAUAUUUAAAAAAAUAGUCGCUCGCCCGAAAUCUUUAAAUCCUAAACUCAUCCCUAAUGCACGCACACUCGCAGUGUCCGUGCGUGCGCGUGUGCACGUGUGUGUGUGUGUGCGUGUGUGUGUGCGUGAAUCUCACAAGGUGCCUGCAUAUGACCACGCUUGGCCACACGCAAAUAUCCACGACCGUCGUGAAGGGCCAAUUAAAAGUUGUUUUUGUUAAUCAUUUUUAUUCUUCUCGUUACCAUUGCCGCCGUUUACCGUUACGGUCUUCGCCGCCCGUUACUCCUCGUCGCGAUUGGCACGUUGCUCGCGGGUCCGUGGGGGGCGCGGUGGUGGUGGUGGGGCGUGCGCCGCGCGGUUCUGUUGGCGUGCGACGGACUGCGAUUGGUCGUGGCGGUCGUUCCCCACAGGCGGUUGCGUGCAACUUGCGUCGCUCCCCCACGUGUGGGCGUUCCACGCAACCUGCCCUCUGCGACCGGGGACGUCCGCGCGGCGGCCGGCCGGCCGUCGAUUUAAGAAGCGGCGUGGAUUUCGAGAGCGGCUCGCCCGUGCAACUAAUACGUCGGAUGCGGACAAGGCGGUAGCAGGCGACGGACGCGGGAUUCGUUGUGAAAUUGGGGUUGGCGGGCCGCCCAACGCAAAUUUUGCGUCGUUCAGAACCCUCCGCUCGUUGCCGGAGGGUUAAGUUCGGGAGCGACUCCCGCGGCCAGAUCGACGAUUCGCCUGCGACCGUGUCGAGCGCCUUCGGGGCGAGAUCCAGGACGCCACGAUCGCAAUAGUCGCCGAAUUCGUGACGUGAAGACGCUCGGCGCGGCCCCCUCCCCCGAAGAGAAUCGUCGCGCGAGCUCACCGCCGCUGAAUCUCUGUCGCACCCACCACCGCCGCCGCCGCCGCCAUCGGUGUCGAGUUGAUCCGCUACGACGGGAGGGGACCGUGCGCCACGCACGACAGUCUCGUUUCGUCUUCUUCCGUGUCGGGCGGUCGGAGGGUUGACGACGACGACGCGCAGAUUUGUUCGGAUCGUUACGCCCGGUGGCCUUGAUCGCCCGCGGCUUGAAACGUCGGACGAUGAAUCGGAAUCUUGGGGCCGCGGGGAGGAAGGAAGGGAAAAAAAACCUCCGAACCAAGUUUCGAAUCACAAAUGGCAGCCGUUGCACGCCCACAGCUCUCGAAAUCGAAAUCCGCGGUUUUUGUUGUUGUUGCUGCGUCGUGAAUGGGAAGUGGCGCCGAUUGGCGGCGAUUGCUGUGCCCGGCAGAUUAAUGGCGAGGCUUUUACGAGAGUGGAAGGAAGGCUCAGAAUUAUGAAUAUUAAACUUGUUACGCUUUCCAUUAUCGUUCCUCUUGUCAUCAAAUCCCUGUUCAUGUAUGUUAUCGUGCAACAUAGUGUUAUUAGAGGCAGAGUACUACAUAUAGUGCAUAGGAAUAACAAACGAUUAUGUUAAGGAUCUCCCCCCCCCCCGCGUGUGUUAUCUCGGUGCGGUUGUAAGCGGCUGUACCCAGCGGCGCGUGGUCAUGACAUUAUAUUAUUAUUAUCAUCACCUGCGGGGGUGCGGUAAUCGGUUGGGUGGGCCCCCACCAUUAGAUUUGUUUUCUCGCACGGUCACACCUCGAGGCCCUCCCCUUGCCUCAACCGCCAUCCGUGGUCACGCUAGCGGGCUCUCCAACGUACGACGUAAAACACGAGUUGUGCGAAGAUGUUCAAGCGCCAAAUAGUAAACUUUUGCGAGGAAUCGAGUUUCUGCAUUAACCACACGCAGUGCUUGUGGUGAACGUGCGGACACAAACGUGCGGCUCUGAUACUAAUGUGUGAUGCGUUGUCUUUGAGACUGAUUGGCCUUCUUCAUGGCCUAGCCUCACCACCAUUGUCAGACCAGAGAACAACGCCACAAGGCGAACAGCACAGAGACAACGCCACACACGUGUCAGAGCGUUUAUACCUCGGGGUUGAGCAGCUUCAUCAUGGGGUGCCUUUUUUUUGCCAGUAUCAAAUUAUGAAAAAUAAUACUAGGUUUUACUCUGUCUGGCAAUAAAACAGAAAGUUCAAACACCAAAUAGUAACUUUUUACAGGGAAUCAAGUUUCUGCAUUAACCACACGCAGUGCUUGUGGUGAACGUGCAAACAAACGUGUGGCUCUGAUACUGUGUGAUGUAUUGUCUUUGAGACUGGCCUAAACCAGACGGCAGCAGCCUUCGUUAAGACCCAGUCUCUAGGGGAAAGAGGGGUCCCAUUUUGGUCUCUAUGACGUUUAACGGCGUCUGGGGGCGGCUCCGGUUUAAAUGGGUUUUUGGUUCUUUUUGUUCUCGUCGUUCUUGAAAAUAUCUCAUCAUCGGAUGGCGGCUGUCAAGGGAGGCUCUCUCCAACUCGUAGCUUUGGCCACCUGGGGCGGGGGGGGGGUGGUGGCACUCCCCCUCCCUCCCCCCCUCUUCCUUCCGUGACGUUCGCUUCGAUGACGCCUGCGGUAGCUCCACCUUGCUGGGAGUCGUCGGCGUGGCCGCGUCAAGCCGCUGAUGCCGCUGCGUGCGUGGGGGUCGGUGCGAACCCCAGGUGAUGUUUGGCCGGAACUCCAAGGAUCGGUUUCGCUUUUAACUCGUCGCCAAGCUAGGGGUGGUCAUGACUCGCCAAGUGACCGUUCGGCAGAGAUUUAUAAACUCUCAACUAUGCAUAAGUCCGGAACCGGUGGAAUUUUCCUCAAUUCUGGCUGUCGCCCGAUGAGGCCAGUUGUUGGAAUUACCGGCGAAACGUCGCAGCUACUCGAAUUCAAAAUGUUUUUACUCUCCAACACAACCGUGCGUGCUGAGACUGGUAACUCAUUGGAACGUUUUGUUUACGUGACAAACCCUUGCUGAAUUGGCUGCGUCGGGUGGUGGCGGGUUCGACGACACAUCUGGAUAAUGUCGGUCGCGAAAGCCUCUCCGCUGCUACAACUGCUGCUGCUGCGUUAAACUGACUAUGCAUCGACUCGUCUCCUGCGUUCUUACAGCUUCCCAUCUCGGGGGUUGAGAGCCCUUGGCUCUGUGUGUGUGGGUGGGCAACGUUUAGGGGUCACGGGUGAACCUUCACUGGGGGUGCACCUGGUGAACCUUCACUGGGGGUGUACCUGGUGAACCUUCACUGGAGGUGUACCUGGUGAACCUUCACUGGAGGGGCACCUGGUGAACCUUCGCUGGGGGUGCUCCUGGUGAACCUUCACUGGAGGUGCACCUGGUGAACCUUCACUGGAGGUGCGCCGGGUGAACCUUCACUGGAGGUGCGCCGGGUGAACCUUCACUGGAGGUGCGCCUGGUGAACCUUCACUGGAGGUGCACCUGGUGAACCUUCACUGGAGGUGUGCCUGGUGAACCUUCACUGGAGGUGCGCCGGGUGAACCUUCACUGGAGGUGCGCCGGGUGAACCUUCACUGGAGGUGCGCCGGGUGAACCUUCACUGGAGGUGUACCUGGUGAACCUUCACUGGAGGUGCACCUGGUGAACCUUCACUGGAGGUGCACCUGGUGAACCUUCACAGGAGGUGCACCUGGUGAACCUUCACUGGAGGUGCACCUGGUGAACCUUCACUGGGGGUGUACAUGGUGAACCUUCAUUGGGGGUGUGCCUGGUGAACCUUCGCUGGAGGUGUACCUGGUGAACCUUCACUGGAGGUGUACCUGGUGAACUUUCGCUGGAGGUGCACCUGGUGAACCUUCACUGGAGGUGUACCUGGUGAACCUUCGCUGGAGGUGUACCUGGUGAACCUUCGCUGGAGGUGCACCUGGUGAACCUUCACUGGAGGUGUACCUGGUGAACUUUCGCUGGGGGUGAACCUGGUGAACCUUCGCUGGAGGUGCACCUGGUGAACCUUCACUGGAGGUGCACCUGGUGAACCUUCACUGGAGGUGUACCUGGUGAACCUUCACUGGAGGUGCACCUGGUGAACCUUCGCUGGAGGUGUGCCUGGUGAACCUUCACUGGAGGUGCGCCUGGUGAACCUUCACUGGAGGUGCACCUGGUGAACCUUCACUGGAGGUGUACCUGGUGAACCUUCGCUGGAGGUGUACAUGGUGAACCUUCACUGGAGGUGCACCUGGUGAACCUUCACUGGAGGUGUACCUGGUGAACUUUCGCUGGGGGUAUGCCUGGUGAACCUUCACUGGAGGUGCGCCGGGUGAACCUUCACUGGAGGUUCGCCGGGUGAACCUUCACUGGAGGUGUACCCGGUGAACCUUCACUGGAGGUGCACCUGGUGAACCUUCACUGGAGGUGCACCUGGUGAACCUUCACUGGAGGUGCACCUGGUGAACCUUCACUGGGGGUGUACAUGGUGAACCUUCAUUGGGGGUGUGCCUGGUGAACCUUCGCUGGAGGUGUACCUGGUGAACCUUCACUGGAGGUGUACCUGGUGAACUUUCGCUGGGGGUGAACCUGGUGAACCUUCGCUGGAGGUGCACCUGGUGAACCUUCACUGGAGGUGCACCUGGUGAACCUUCACUGGAGGUGCACCUGGUGAACCUUCGCUGGAGGUGUGCCUGGUGAACCUUCACUGGAGGUGUACCUGGUGAACCUUCGCUGGAGGUGCACCUGGUGAACCUUCACUGGAGGUGUACCUGGUGAACUUUCGCUGGGGGUGAACCUGGUGAACCUUCGCUGGAGGUGCACCUGGUGAACCUUCACUGGAGGUGUACCUGGUGAACCUUCGCUGGAGGUGUGCCUGGUGAACCUUCACUGGAGGUGUACCUGGUGAACCUUCGCUGGAGGUGCACCUGGUGAACCUUCACUGGAGGUGUACCUGGUGAACUUUCGCUGGGGGUGAACCUGGUGAACCUUCGCUGGAGGUGCACCUGGUGAACCUUCACUGGAGGUGUACCUGGUGAACCUUCACUGGAGGUGCACCUGGUGAACCUUCGCUGGAGGUGUGCCUGGUGAACCUUCACUGGAGGUGCACCUGGU